Molecule: long non-coding RNA, 708 nt
Organism: Mus pahari (shrew mouse)
Lineage: Eukaryota; Metazoa; Chordata; Mammalia; Rodentia; Muridae
Exons: 3
Source: RefSeq, a predicted model, not a curated record
GCCUGGAAUUAAUGAAUUUGCCAAGACUAGCUGGCCAACCAGCUCCGGUCCCCACUGUUUCCCCAGAGCUAGGCUUACAGAUAGGUGCCAUCCAGCCUGGUCUUUUCAUGGGUACUUGAAAUUUGAACUCAGACCCCCAUGCUUGUACAUCAAACACUUUAUUGUCAGCCAUCUAUCCCCCCAGUUGGGAGCCUAAACAUCUUCUGUGGAGUCUGGACCUCUAGGGAGUUACAAAGGUUCACUUGUCAAGCAUUUUCUCAGUAUGAAGAUACAGUUCACCAUGGCUGGAAGGCAAGACAGUAGGAGCAUGAGGGAGCUGCUCACCCUGCAUCUGCAGUCAGGAAGCCAGGAGAGAGCGGGGAAUGCUGGCCCUCAGCUACCUCGUUCCUCUUCCCACUUGUUCAGCACAAGAUCCCAGCCCAUGAGAUGCUGCCACUCAUGUUCAGGUUCAUGGAGUCAUCCACACAUGAAUCCUGGCUCUUAAGGGAUGAGGGAGUAGAGGCAGGACGAUCAUCUUCAACAACUCUAUAGAUUCAGCUGUAUAUCUAGCCUGACGGUUUGGGUUUUCAGAUGGCACAAACAGGAAGAUGGGUAGAAAUAUGGGCACACUGUGGAUUCAUGAGCAAUUACAUUGUGGGAAACCUGUGAAAAUUGUGUCUUGGUGGUUCUAGUUUACUCAUUAAUAUAAUAAACAAACUGUGGGCUGAA